Molecule: ribosomal RNA, 2982 nt
Filed under: Nitrospirae bacterium JdFR-88
Lineage: Bacteria; Pseudomonadati; Nitrospirota
Description: bacterial LSU rRNA
Rfam family: Bacterial large subunit ribosomal RNA
Source: RNAcentral
UCAAGGUAAGAAGGGCGCACGGUGGAUGACUUGGCAGCGGCGGGCGAGGAAGGACGCGGCAGGCUGCGAAAAGCCACGGGGAGCUGCGAGCAAGCGUAGAUCCGUGGGUAUCCGAAUGGGGCAACCUGGGCAGGCGAGGAGCCUGCUCAUCCUGUGCUGAAUUCAUAGGCGCAGGAGGCGCACCCGGGGAAGUGAAACAUCUCAGUACCCGGAGGAGAAGAAAUCAACGGAGAUUCCCUUAGUAGUGGCGAGCGAACGGGGAGUAGCCCAAACCGGUCUCAUCCUUAGGGAUGGGGUCGGGGUUGUGGGACCGCGGAAGUACCCCAUGCGGGGCAUAGCCGAAGGGGCUGGAAAGCCCUCCCGUAGAAGGUGACAGGCCUGUAGGCGAAAUGCGCUGCUGGGGGAAGCGGGAUCCCGAGUACCACGGGGCACGAGGAACCCUGUGGGAAGCAGGGGGGACCACCCUCCAAGGCUAAAUACCGCUGCUGACCGAUAGUGCACCAGUACCGUGAGGGAAAGUUGAAAAGAACCCCGGUGAGGGGAGUGAAAUAGAGCCUGAAACCGUGUGCCUACAAGCAGUCGGAGCCUUCAGGGGCGGAGGUCUCUGGGGGUGACGGCGUGCCUUUUGAUUAAUGAGCCGGCGAGUUGCUGGCACUGGCGAGGCUAAGCCCUUCUGGGGCGGAGCCGCAGGGAAACCGAGUCUGAAGAGGGCGUAUCAGUCGGUGUCAGCAGACCCGAAGCCAGGUGAUCUACCCAUGGUCAGGGUGAAGUGGGGGUAGCACCCCAUGGAGGCCCGAACCGGUGUCUGUUGCAAAAGGCUCGGAUGAACUGUGGGUAGGGGUGAAAGGCCAAUCAAACCUGGUGAUAGCUGGUUCUCCCCGAAAUGCAUUGAGGUGCAGCCUCGGCAUGAGCCCUCGGGGGGUAGGGCACUGGAUGGGCUAGGGCGGCAGAAGCCGUACCAAACCCAACCAAACCACGAAUACUCGGGGGUGCUUGUCGGGAGUGAGAGUGCGGGCGCUAAGGUCCGUGCUCGAGAGGGAAACAGCCCAGACCGCCAGCUAAGGUCCCCAAGACGGUGCUAAGUGGGGAAGGAUGUGGUGCUGCUGAGACAGCCAGGAUGUUGGCUUAGAAGCAGCCAUCAUUUAAAGAAAGCGUAACAGCUCACUGGUUUAGCGGCACUGCGCCGAAAAUCCAACGGGGCUUAAGCACCGCACCGAAGCUGCGGAAACAGCGGGCAAUCAAGGACCUGCUGUUUGGUAGGGGAGCAUUCUGCUAACCUGCGAAGGCGCACCGCGAGGUGUGCUGGAGGAGGCAGAAGGGAGUAUGCCGGCAUAAGUAGCGCAAAUCCUGAUGAGAAGUCAGGACGCCGUAAACCUAAGGUUUCCUGGGGAAGGUAAAUCCGCCCAGGGUUAGGCGGGCCUAAGGCGAGGCCGGAAGGCGUAGCUGAUGGACAGCAGGUUAAUAUUCCUGCCCCGUCCUGGCGGCGUUUGACCGAAGGGGUGACGCAGCAGGAUAGUCCGGGCCUGGAGUUGGGGCCAGGUCCAAGCGCUUAGGCUGCUGGGGGAGGCAAAUCCCCCCUGGCGCAAAGGCUGAGGCGCGACGGGCAAGCCCGCAAGGGUGAACUCGGGCGAUUCCACACUGACGAGAAAAACCUCUAAGGGAGCCGCCAGGGCGCCCGUACCGCAAACCGACACUGGUAGGUGGGUGGAAGACACCAAGGCGUUCGAGCUAACCCUCGCUAAGGAACUCGGCAAAAUGGCCCCGUAACUUCGGGAGAAGGGGUCCCUCCGGGGCUGGGGGCACGGCCCCUGGCUGCCGAGGGCGCAGUGAAGAGGCCCAGGCGACUGUUUACCAAAAACACAGGUGCCUGCUAACCCGAAAGGGGAUGUAUAGGCACUGACGCCUGCCCGGUGCCGGAAGGUUAACGGGAGGAGUUAGGGGGUUUCGGCCCCCGAAGCUCUGAACUGAAGCCCCGGUAAACGGCGGCCGUAACUAUAACGGUCCUAAGGUAGCGAAAUUCCUUGUCGGGUAAGUUCCGACCUGCACGAAUGGCGUAACGACUUGGGCGCUGUCUCGGCGAGGGGCUCGGCGAACUUGAGAUACCGGUGAAGACGCCGGUUACCCGCAGCUAGACGGAAAGACCCCGUGCACCUUUACUACAGCUUGGCAGUGAGCUUUGGCAGUGCAUGUGUAGGAUAGGUGGGAGGCACUGAAGCGGUGGCGCCAGCUGCCGUGGAGCCGUCCUUGAAAUACCACCCUUGUGCUGUUGGGGCUCUAACCUGCGGCCGUGAAUCCGGCCGAGGGACACUGUCUGGCGGGUAGUUUGACUGGGGCGGUCGCCUCCUAAAAGGUAACGGAGGCGUCCAAAGGUCUCCUCAGGCUGGACGGAAACCAGCCGUUGAGUGCAAAGGCAUAAGGAGGCUUGACUGCGAGGCCGACGGGCCGAGCAGGUGGGAAACCAGGGCUUAGUGAUCCGGUGGCUCCGUGUGGAAGGGCCAUCGCUCAACGGAUAAAAGGUACGCCGGGGAUAACAGGCUGAUCGGGCCCAAGAGUUCACAUCGACGGCCCGGUUUGGCACCUCGAUGUCGACUCAUCGCAUCCUGGGGCUGAAGUAGGUCCCAAGGGUUGGGCUGUUCGCCCAUUAAAGCGGUACGAGAGUUGGGUUCAGAACGUCGUGAGACAGUUCGGUCCCUAUCUGCUGCGGGCGNAGGAGACUUGAGGGGAGCCGUCCCCAGUACGAGAGGACCGGGAUGGACGGACCUCUGGUGUUCCGGUUGUCGCACCAGCGGCAACGCCGGGUAGCCAUGUCCGGACGGGAUAAACGCUGAAGGCAUCUAAGCGUGAAGCCCACCCCAAGAUGAGGUCUCCCGAGCCGUAAGGCUCCCGAAGGUCCCUGGUAGACUACCAGGUCGAUAGGCUGGAGGUGUAAGGGUAGAAAUGCCCUCAGCUGACCAGUACUAAUAGACCGAGCGCCUUGACCCC